AGAGACAGGCUCUUCUAUCCAUUGAUUCACUCCCCAAAUGACUGAGAGCCUGAGACAGCUGGGGCUGGGUCAGGCUGAAGUCAGGAGCUGAGAACUCAGUCAAGGUGUCUGUGUGGGUGGCAGGGACUCAAAUAUAUGAGCCAUCACCUGCUGCCUCCCAGAGUGUGCAUCAGGGCAAGUUAGAAUAAGGAGUGAAACUGGAACUGAAACCCAGGCACUUUGAUAUGGGAUACAGAUAUCUCUAACUGCUAUGCCAAAUGCCUAUCCCUUUCUCUUUUAUUCUUCAUGCCACAUGCAUAUUAAUCCUAUGUUAAAUUAUUUUGGAGAAUUACUGGUCAUUUCACAUUAUUUUCAGGUAAAAGAGCUAUAUGAGUAAUUCAGGUAGAAGCAGAUUUAUUAUUAUUUUAUUAUUAUUAUUUAUUUGACAGGCAGAGUUAGUGAGAGAGAGAGACAGAGAAAAAAGUUUUCCUUUUCCGUUGGUUCACCCCCCUAAUGGCCGCUAAGACUGGCACGCUUUGCUGAUCCGAAGCCAGGAGCCAGGUGCUUCUCCUGGUCUCCCAUGCGGGUGCAGGGCCCAAGCACUUGGGCCAUCCUCCACUGCACUCUGGGCCACAGCAGAGAGCUGGACUGGAAGAGGAGCAGCCGGGACUAGUACCCGGCACCCAUAUGGGAUGCCGGCGCCACAGGUGGAGGAUUAACCAAGUGAGCCAUGGCACCAGCCCCUAUUAUUAUUAUUUUUAAAACCACAUUGUGAAUCUUUAGAAUUUAUUUAAGCUGAACAAAGUACUUAUUAUAAGAUCAUUGUUUACUGAACUGGAGGAGCUACAUUGACAUUUAUAUAUUUUGGAUGUGUUUUUAUGUUUUUAGUUGUAUAGGAAGGACACUAUUGAAAGUAAACUAUACACCUAUACUCUUUAGUUGUCACGUAUAGCUGAUUGCUCAUCUCCAGUUUCUAUGACUUGUUCCAAAGGCAUCUCUAAUGGUGUUAGAAAUAGGAGAACAGAGUCCAACCACUGACCUUACUGUAAGUGGUCAAGCUAGUUUACCCAGUACAGUUUGAGUGACACAGUUUUAUAACAUUUGAGGAAUAUAAGUAAACAGUAAAUGUAAUAAUGGCUGACAUUUCUGUAGAAACUUGAUGUUUACACAUAUUUUCACAAUGUAUUAUUUAAUUUUUAGAACAGUCUAAGAUAAGAUCUUGAAACUAGAGCCUAAUUUUAGUUUCCAUGCAUUAUACAAUGCUGGAAUUAGUAGAAAAGAAGGCUUUAAAUAUAUAAAGAUUUUGUGACACAAAACAGAUCCCUAAUAUAGGAAACAGAUCUUAAUAUGGGAAAAGAAAACACAAACAAAUGGACAAAGAGAAGGAGAGGUACAAAAAGUGUAUAUGAGGACAAAAUGCCUCACACUGAAGACUAGGUAUCAGAAGGAAGUCUUAAUGUUUCUGUCCUAGUUUAAGUCUCCUCUUCGGGUUGAUUCAUAAAUGUUUAGUUUUGACAGGUAGAAGCUGAAUAAUUGAAAUCCCCUAAUCAUGUGCAGAGAUUCUUAUGUUGUGACUCUUCACUCUUCAAGGUUAACAGUGAUGAUGAAAUGAAUGUUCACUGACACCAUGGGUCAUGUACAUGCCACAUUAAAGGAAAUAGCUCAUAAUUUUCACAACAACCAGAUGAAACAAGCUCACUUCUCUCCAUUUUUAAACAAGGGGGAAAGAAGAGAUGAGAGGUUAAAUGACAGCUAGUGAGUGGAUGAACAAUGACUGGAUAUUGGAUUACCUGACACCAAAGUUUACAUAUUUAAUAAUCAUGCUCUGCUACAGGGAAGAUAUUAAGAAGACCCUGGAAGCAUCUUCUGAACAAAAAAUAUUUUGAGUUAGAACUAUAUUCUAACUGUAUUCUAACCAGGUAAACUAUUCUGAUAUGUUUUUUUUUUUUAAUUUUUUGACAGGCAGAGUUAGACAAUGAGAGAGAGAGAGAGACAGAGAGAGAGAGAGUUAAAGACAGUGAGAGAGAGAGAGAGAGAGAAAAGUCUUCCUUUUUCCCUUGGUUUACCCCCAAAGUGGCCACUACAGCUGGUGUGCUGCGCUGAUCCGAAGUCAGGAGCCAGGUGCUUCCUCCUGGUCUCCCAUGCAGGUACAGGGCCCAAGCACUUGGGCCAUCCUCCACUGCCUUCCCGGGCCACAGCAGAGAGCUGGACUGGAAGAGGAGCAACCGGGACAGAAUCUGGUGCCUCAACUGGGACUAGAAUCUGGGGUGCUGGUGCUGCAGGCAGAGGAUUAGCCAAGUGAGCCACGGCGCCGGCCCUAAUAUAGUUCUAAUAUAGAACUAUAUUCUAACCAGGUAAACUGCUCCCAUUUCCCAUUUCCCAUAAGUCACCAGUUAUCCAUGCUGGAGGCCUUUCUCAAGCAGCCUGGGAAACCUCCCAUUAGACAGGCCAUUGGGCAAAGUUCACACCACUGAAUUAUUGAGAAAAUGCCUACUGCCUUCCUGAGACAGCCAAUAUGGCCAGCAUAAGAAUUAGGUUCAGCUGACUCAGCAGCAGUGUUCAUCCUGGCUGCUGAUUAGGCUUACUUUAUGGGUGAGAAACCUAAGGCUUCAUCAGAGAAGUUAUAUAUAUUUGCCUCAUCUGAAAAAAAUAUUUAUUUGUUCAUUAUCUAUUUAUUUGAAAAGCAGAGUGAAAGAGAGAAAUAGAAAAAUGAAAAGAUCUUCCAUCUGCUGCUUCACUCUCUAAAUGCCAGCAUUGGGCGAGGCUGAAACCAGGAGCCUGGAACUCCAUCUGGGUCUCCAAUGAGGGUGGCAGAAGCCUGAGCACUUUAGCCAUUAUCUGUAGCCUCCCAGGAUGCACUAGCAGGAAGCUGGGUUGGAAGCCAAACAGCCUAUACUUGAAUAGAUACUCCAACUUGGAAUAAAUAAAUCCCAAGUGGUGGCUUAGCACUCUGUGCCACAAAGCCUGCUUUAGAUUUACCUACUUUGAUUAAAUGUUUAUCCAUGGUGGAGACAAGAGAACAGUUUCCUGGACUUGAAGAGAUAUCCAUUGAACACAAAUGGCAAUAAGAUAAAGAUUUUAAGACUUUUCUUGGAAACCUGUUCUGGAAAUUCAAUAAAUACUAGGACAUCAUUCUAUAUAUUUUCUUUCAAGAAUAAAAUGAUUUCUAUAUUUAGUUCAGUUCUAAAAGUACUGAGUUCAGAUUGAAAAUGGAUAUUUCCUGUUAAAAAUUGUUAUUAUUUUCUUCUCAGAAUGAUGGCUUCCUUUUUUUGCCUUUUGAGAAAAUGUGUGUUCUGUCAGCAGCGAUGAGCACAGAUCUGGGUGCUGAUCAAGACCCUAAACUGAGACCUGAGAAAAUGCAGAGCUGAGGCAAGAAGUUCCAGGAAGUACUCUAAAGCCUGUCACGCUUCUGUGGUAUUUCAAAAAAAGGUGAACUUGAGAGUGACUUCUGUUAACAAUUAUCUGUUCCUAAAUGAUAUGGAGUACGUAAGGUGUAUGAAGACACACUCAUUACUUUUUGAAGCUGCCUUACUCCAUGAGAUUCCACAGUCCAACUUCAUGUAACAACCUUGUGAGCAUAAGAAGAUGAACCAUUAAGAAAUUCCAAUGGUAACUAAUAGAGUACAAAAAAUGUAAUGUAUAGGAGUGAAGCUAACAUUUUGAGAUUCAAAUGAUUGUUUACAGCCCUUGUAUUUACUGUUGAGGAACACUAUUUUUUCUUCUAUUUGUUGAACUCUUUAGUUACUGUAGGAUUAAUCUUAUGAGUAUAAAGUAAACUAAAAGUAAAUCAUUGUAAAAAUUAAGAGAGGGAAUAGGAGAGGGAGGAGAAAGAAGGGUAGAAGUGUGGGCAGGAAAGAAGGAAGUAUCAUGUGUUCCUAAAUAUGUAUAUGUGAAAUAGAUGAAAUUUGUUUACCUUAAAUAAAAUUAAAAAAUAAAAAAGAAAUUCCCUGGCUUUUCUAUAUUAGAUUAGAGAUCAUCAAUUUUGUCAAUUUUUCUCAUGUUGUAGAUUUUUCAGCCAUGUCAGUUUUCCUGUUACACACCUAUCAGUGGACUCUUGUAAAAACAAAAGUGACCAGGGAGCAGAUAAGGUUGGUCAGUCCCAGAGUGCAGAUGACUGUCACUUUCUGUUCUGAGCAAAAUAUACUAUAAAUGUAAAGUAUUUUCGUAUUCUUUAUCUUAUAAAGUUUACUACCCAAUUCACUGAAAAAUUUGUAUUUAUUUUGUCAAACUUAUUGUUAGGGUGGUUCUCCCUUUACUAGUCUUUCAGAGGAUUUUUAGAACUUAAGAGCUAGAUAUUCUACAAAUGGCUUUCAACCUUCCUCUUUUAAAUUUUGGGUCAUGUUUCCAGCUUAUUGAGAUAUGUUUAAUUCCUUUUGAAAAUUGGCUCUUCCACCAAAUAUUCUCCAUUAAUCCUCAUUUAAAAUGUUGUUCUCAAGAUAAAGGAUAAUCUAUUUAUGACAGAAAUUGUGUAAAGAACAGAUGAGCUAAAAGAAGAAAUAAAGAUGGUUCAUAACUCAUUACCAAAGAGAUAAAUAUCAUUGCCAGAGAUAUCUAUGAUUAGCAUUUUAGUGUAUCUCUACCUAGUCUCCUUCUCUAUGCACAUAUGCAUGUCCCUACAUGCGCACAUA
Non-coding RNA from Oryctolagus cuniculus (rabbit), 4607 nucleotides. Lineage: Eukaryota; Metazoa; Chordata; Mammalia; Lagomorpha; Leporidae. The record is from RefSeq and is a predicted model, not a curated record.